AGCUGUAGAAGGCAGAGACUCAGGGGCAAAGCUUCAGGACCCAGAAUCUCAGGGGUAAAGCCGAAGCAGUUACACUCACAGAGGACAAAGCUUCAGGAGGCGAAGACUCAGGGGUGAAGCUGAAGGAUGUAGAGCCUCAAGGAGCAAAGGGAUACUUCAAUGCAAUAGGUGGCGGUAUGCAUAGUGCUGCCCCUCAGUAAACAGGAGAACAGGAGGUUGGGCUAUUUCCGCUUUAGAAUAUGCGCACAGAAUGGCAAGCGGACGCAUCGCUGGAAAACACAGAGAGAGAAAGCCCUAUAAAAGGGAGGCUUGUUGUUAUUUCGGAUUCUCAGACUGGCUAUGAAACAAUCCGUUUGUGAAGAGACAGAUGCUGAAACCCAUCAUAACAUUGGAGGAUUUUGGGCCAUACUUACAUUGCCUGGUGUUCUAAGGUUCACUUCUUGGCUUGAUGAAUGAAGUUUUAGGUAAGCAAAUUCAAAUAACACAGUUUUACCUGAAAUUUCAUGAAAUUGGAUUUUUAAUCCCUUUCUUGACAUUUAAUAGCAUAUUGGUUUGGGCUACAAUGGUAUGGAGGAUCAAACCUGCAGAGAUUAAAGAUGCAUUAAUAAUUUGUUGAAAAAAUGUAAUAAAAAUAAGUAAAGAAAUAAAUUAUUUGAUUAAAACAAAUAUAGUUAAUUUGUAAUAAAAUGUAAUCCUGAAUUAAUUUUUUAUUAUCUUCAUGUAUUAUGUUCAGUACUUAUUUUUUAUUCUUUAACUUUUAUUUACAUAUUCUUUCAUUUAUUAAUUUAAUAUAUGCAUUUUUUAUUGUUAAAUGUAUUUAUUCAUGCAUUUUUAUUUUUUUAUAAUUUAUUCCCACAUGUAUUUAUUAUUAUUAAUUACAUCCAAGAUUUUUUUUUUAAUUCCAUCAGGUGCGUGAUUUCACAUAGAGCAGCUGUUACUACACAGAGCCGUUGUUAACUGACAAGCUGCCCAAAUAAACGCUGAUAAUGAACGUGGAUUUGCGCAGCUUGUCCGUUUACAACGGCUCCGUGUAGUAACAGCUGCUGAAUCUAUUUUUUUAAUCACUAUGAUACACCUAUAAUAAUUUUAGAUUCUGACUAUUUUAGACUGGUUUGGGUAGGUACCGCUGCAGAGUAGCCCAGUACCUGCGUGAUUUGUCAUAGACAUAAACAGAGAAAAGUAGCUCCGGCUUCAAUGUUCUUCCACAAGACGGACGCAGUUCUGUUUACUAACCACUAGAGCACCAAAAGUUACAGACUGCAGAUUUAAUUGCUGUCAUUCGUUCUCGAAAUAGAAAGUGAUCAAAACAUUUAUACAGACCACAACCUUACAACAAAGACUAUACAGUUUAGCUCUUCUGAGUAUUGAGAAUGCCUAUGGUUGUUAAAGCUGCAGUGAAAAAAAGUAUUCUGUAAAGUUUUGUUAGUUUAUUUCUGGUUGUCAGUUGAUGAAAUGUAUAAGUGCACUUUUUUUACAAUGUGGAAUUUUUCCCUCUUGCCUCUGUAUACACAAAUCCGCCGCAAACUCUAUGGGCGCCGCCAUCUUGCCUGCCGCCAUUACUGCGUGCCUGCGAGGUGUGACGGUGUGACACUUGCCGGUGCCCUCUAAUGACAUUUCAAUGAAAGCGGAUCCUGCUCAUUAAAGAAAAUGUCUGGUGAAAGGGAAAAUUGGGUAGAUGAUGUCAGGCAGUGGCCAAAACUUACUGAUAAAGCAAUCUCAACAAUGGACUCGUUUCCUUCCUUUUUGGUGUCUCCUGUACUUUCUGUUUGGAGGUCAUUGCAUGUGUCUGAUUGAGCAACUGUCAUUAUGCAUUUCUGUUUGCAGUGCUUUGCUUAAAUUUUGAACCCUUAGCAACAAUAAAAGUCUUUGGAGUUUUCCAUUUGGGUUGUGGUUGUACAUGUUUUCCUUGAUUUAAUAUCCUUAUGGAUAUGUGCAAUGCAACAAUUUAUUUCACACUAAAAAAAAUGAACCAGCUAUAAACACUUUUUUUUUUGAGCUGCAUGUGGUAUAGCAGUCUUAAAUGCAAUAACUAAAAUAAUAAUUUUCCUAAAUAACUUUUCUUGUUGGCUUAUCAACAGUUUAAUAUGUAAAUGGAAAUAAUUAAUUUAAUGGUCUUACCUGUUAUUUUCCACUUUUCUUUUGUUCACGUUUUCCUUGGCUGCAUUCAUCACUCUAUAGCAUUCUUUAAGAACUCCUGGGAUGCAACCUUAUUUUCUUCAUGCAUGAAUGAGUGAAUGAAUGAAUGAUGCAUUUAUAUAGCGUUUUAUUCUGUAUUGUUGUACACCCAAAGCGCUUUACAUCAUGUGGGGGGGUCUCUCCUCAACCACCACCAGCAUGCAGCAUCCACCUGGCUGAUGCAACGGCAGCCACAGGACAACGGCACCAGUGCGCUCACCACACACCAUGGGGAAUGCAUAAACCUAAUUGUAGCCUAUGUGUUCAAUUAUAUUAUUGAAGGGUAUCAUGAUUUUGAUGUUUAAAUGCUGAAAACAGACUCAUGAUUUG
Long non-coding RNA from Cyprinus carpio carpio, 2505 nucleotides. Lineage: Eukaryota; Metazoa; Chordata; Actinopteri; Cypriniformes; Cyprinidae. The record is from Ensembl.